Molecule: small nucleolar RNA, 212 nt
Organism: Sorex fumeus (smoky shrew)
Lineage: Eukaryota; Metazoa; Chordata; Mammalia; Eulipotyphla; Soricidae
Product: small nucleolar RNA U3
Exons: 1
Source: RefSeq, a predicted model, not a curated record
AAAAUUAUAUGUUCAGAGUUCAUUUCUAGAGUUGGUUACUAGAGAAAAUUCCCUGAUCAGGUAGAGUAUCCCAAACCCGAGGAGAGCUGGAGCAGCCGCUCCUGGGAGUCACCCCAGGUCUAGCUGUUGCUUUUGCCACAACCUUUUUAUAUUGAUAAUGGUUCUUCUCUUCCUUUGGAAGAGCGAGAGGGAAAGGAUGCAGUCUGAGUGUU